CGGGACGGGUGAGUAAUGUUUGGGGAAACUGCCUGAUGGAGGGGGAUAACUACUGGAAACGGUAGCUAAUACCGCAUAACGUCGCAAGACCAAAGAGGGGGACCUUCGGGCCUCUUGCCAUCGGAUGUGCCCAGAUGGGAUUAGCUAGUAGGUGGGGUAACGGCUCACCUAGGCGACGAUCCCUAGCUGGUCUGAGAGGAUGGCCAGCCACACUGGAACUGAGACACGGUCCAG
Molecule: ribosomal RNA, 234 nt
Filed under: uncultured bacterium
Lineage: Bacteria
Description: partial 16S ribosomal RNA
Rfam family: Bacterial small subunit ribosomal RNA
Source: RNAcentral